CUCUGGAGGAGCGCCGAGCUGCUGAGCCUAGCCGAUCCGAGCAACAGAGACGAAGUACCGUGGCCAAAGACGACGAUCUGGAAAAACUUGUAACCUUGCAGCCUUGUCAUUGUCAUCCGGCAGUCAGGCACGUAGGCAGUCAGGGACUGCGACGGAGACGUCGACUGCCCGAAGAGAGCCUCACUAACCUGAAGCCAGUGUGCCCGAGUCCCCGAGUCAGAACUGGACACAGAGUCCACAACCGACGAACCACCGAGGCCACGCGGAUCGUGCAAAUCUUGUUGGCAUUUUUCAGCCAUUUCCUUUUUACAUACAAGCAACCCACCACCAGUCCCCCAGCCAUGCGCCUGCUGCAGCAUCUAACUCGGGCUAGAGACACGGAGAGAAGAAAGGAAAAAAGAAGAGAAAUAUGUUUAAAAGAGAAACAAAAAAUUAUGUUCGAUAUCAAUUUCGCGUGGACACAUGCCAAGAGACACGCAACGCCACCAAACACGCGCACCACAUUUUUACCCCUACCACCCCCUGGCACCAUUCGGCACUCCAAUAACUGAUCCAAAAUCCAAAAACCCGGUGCGGUGUGUGCCUCUACUGCCCUCUAUUGACUCGUGUGAAGCGGGAGAGUGGAGAGGUGGAGGUGGAGAGGCUGGUUGGUUUCUCGGAUUUGGGUAGAAGUACGAGGUGGUUGAGGAUGAGGAAGUAAUUACGUCUGCAGCGGAUGGAAUGGACUACACUGACCAAAAUAAGUGCGAGCAAGCAUUGAGACAAACCUUUCCACUAGCCAUUGCGUGGGUCAAAGUUCACCAAAAGUUUUGUCUUUUCUUUGCAUCAAAAGAAACUUAAUUUAUUUGAAAUAUAAAUAGCGAAUGAAAU
RNAcentral lists this long non-coding RNA (870 nucleotides) under Drosophila guanche. The record is from RNAcentral. Lineage: Eukaryota; Metazoa; Arthropoda; Insecta; Diptera; Drosophilidae.